Anaerolinea sp. 4484_236 is the source of this 363-nucleotide non-coding RNA. The record is from Rfam. Lineage: Bacteria; Bacillati; Chloroflexota; Anaerolineae; Anaerolineales; Anaerolineaceae.
GAUGGCUCGAGGCUCUUGGCCCGAGCCAUUUUAUUUUGAUCGUCCGAUGGAACUGCAAGUGCAUGACACCCUUUUUUUACUUUGCCAUAAGGAGGCAAAUCGAAUGUCAGAACGUAUCAUCGGAACAGUCAAAUGGUUCAACGGCACCAAGGGCUACGGCUUCUUGGAGCGCGAAGGCGGCCCGGACGUAUUCGUCCACUACAGCGCCAUUCAAGGCGACGGCUACCGCAACCUUCAAGAAGGUCAGCAAGUUGAAUUCACUGUUGAGCAAGGCGCAAAAGGCCCCCAAGCCACCAACGUUGUAGCUCUCUAGUCAAUUAUUUUGACAAUCUAAACGCCCUCUCUUUUGAGAGGGCGUUUUUU